AUUUCUGUGGAAGGGCCAAACAGCAUUUCAUUAGUUUCUCUACUUUUCAGAGUUAUGUGACUUUUGUUUUUUUUUUUCCCUGCCCAAAGCUUAGAAGUUUAUUGCAGUCAUUUGUUUUAUUAAUAUAAUUACUUUGACAUUGGUGACAACAUAAUAGUCUAACAUGAAAUAUUGGUGGUUUAGAGGCUGCUGGUUCUUUUGGAUAAACUGACUUUCCAUUUUCAGUUUGCAGCACUACUACUAAAUGAUAUUAAAGACAUAAUGACCACUUUAAGUUCUUCCUUUACUUGUAUUACUUCAUGGUUGCUGUCCUGUAAAAGAACAUAGGACUGACCUUCCUCAAAGCCACUUACUAAAGUGAGAAAUAAGAGGAAACAUUUAUUUUGACUUUGUAGAAUGUAAGGUCACUGAGGAUAGAAGGCCUGUCUUUGUGUGUUAGAUUUGCAGAGCUGGGCCUCACACAGGCUGGCUGUGUAACAGAGAUGACUCAACAACAAUAUGUUUAGCAGAAAGAUAAACAUAUUAAAUGCUGCACAAACAGCUGAGCCCCAGUGGCUCCAGCCCACAAUGGCACACCUUGUCCUUGACCACUUCGAACUACACUUUAUUCUGAGACAUCCAUGUAAUGCCCUUCACCAGGGCCUGCUUUAUGGCCCCAUGGAGUUUGCUCAUCAGCUUCCUUCAGCUUGACAUCACAUUGCCUAAACUGGAGAAUGAAUCCUUUCCACGGAGAGCUGGAGUUGAGCUAAUCUCCUUGGCACCAGCUAGAUGUGAUACAAAACCAGAAAGCAUGGAGAGCCUCAAGUUCAGUGGUGUGAAAAGUCAAAGGCAUGGCUGGGUUUCUUCCACAAAGCAGGUCAAACACCCAGGAUGCCAGGUCAUUUGACAUUUUCAAGGGGUUGCAGGCCUCAGACUUCUCUGUGUCCUACUAAUAUCUGUCCUUCGGAAAAAUCAAAUCCUUGUCUCAAAGCUGAGUUGAGGUGGAUGUAAUCUUACUUUAUUUCUCACGAGCAAGCACUAUCUAAAUUGGUAGGGGACAGGAUAUAGAGUGAGACAGCCAGGGUUAGGGACUUGGCUUCCUUGCUUGUUUGGCUUUUAAAUUGCCUUUGGUUUCUUAGUUUGGAAGAUGGGAAUGCUUUUACUCACCAUUGUCUACUCAACAGAGGUAGAAUUUGGCUUAUAAGAAAAAUAUUUUUCUUUCUUGGAGAAACUCCCAAAUACCAAGUUAUUACUUAGCAACUAACGACAAGUUCCUUUUGCCUUUAUAAAGCAAAUGAGAUACAGAAAAGUUCUACGAAACAGUUUCCUUUUAUCAUCAACUGGAAAUGAGUGCCUAUGGUGAACGUUUCUGGAAGUAGAAAGCCAUUAUUUAAACCUCUUCCCAGAAGCAUUCGCUCUGUUUGCACCCCUCUAUGGUUGCACCAGCCCCCUUCCCUUCACACCCUGUCUCAUUCGGAGCUGAGGGUCAUUUCCAUCAGCAGUAUGUAUUGUCUGCAGCGCUAGAUGCUGGAUAUAUUGUGGUGACUCAAACAUGUCGGUAAACACUGGUGAGCUUAACAGAAUAAACUGAACCCAAGGUGCCCCUGUCUCUUCUCUAAUCAGUAAGAUGAGCACAGAACAGUGUAGUGGCUGGGCGUCACCGAGGCUUCGACGAGAACGGUUAAGACGAAGUGGUGGUUGUGGCUCUUUCUGUAUCUUCAUUCACUUACUCAACACACACGUGUUAAAAACCCAGUUUUUGCCAGGGACUACGCCAUUGCUGGGUUCAUCUGUGAGCAAAACAAAUACAGAGCUCCUGGACUCGGAGCUGAAAGUUGAGAGGGGGUGAUGGGGAUGUACACAAGGAAGUUCAAAAUGCGAAGUGUUGUGAAGAAAGCAAAUAGGGGUCUGAGAUAAGGAGUGAGGUCAACGAAGGUCUCCCUGAGGAGUAAAGUUGAGGCAUCAGGAAUAAAAAAGGAGCCAGCCAUGGGAAGAACAAGGAAAGAGCAUUCAUUCUAGGCGGAUGGAACAGCAUGUGCAAGACAGAGCUUAGUGAGUUCUAGCAACCAGAAGGCAGCCAUUGUGGUAGGAGCUUAAGGAAGGAAGGAGGACAGGGGUAGAAGAUGCAGUUGGCAGAGGGCAAACCACCUUGUACGUGUGUUAGUCAAAGUUUAGCGGGAAGGCAACAAGAGGAUGUAGUUUACAUUUUAGAACACGCUUUCUGACUUGGCCAUAGGGAAUCAGUUGUGAGGGGGAGGACUGCAGGGAGCAUUUAGAUCUUUAGGAAGGAGCUGCAGUAUUCCAGGCAGGAGAUGAGGGUGGUGGUAGUAAAGACAGACAUGGAUGGAUUCAAAAUAGAUUUUGGUAGAAUCCACCAGGCUUGAGGAUGGACUGAAUGUAGCAAAUGAGAGAAAGGAAGGAAUCAAGACGAUCUCCCAGAUUAUCUGGCCAUGUACAGGGAUGAGGAAGACUGAGGGAGCAACAUGUUUCGGGAGAAAAAUCCAGAGUUCCUCUUUGGAUGUGUGACGAAUGGAGACACCUGUGAGAUACAAAGGGGGAGGUGUCGAGUAGAAAUCAGUGGACGAAUGACAUGGUCAGCAACCCGGGCUGGAGGUGACGUGUUUAUCACUGAUCAGUCUGUUAGCUGUCUUCAAAUUCACAGCAGCAGAUGAGCCUAUGUAAGGGGACUCUGCCGCGGACACAGAAGAGUUUCUACAAGCCAGCCCACGAGUCAGAGAGAGCACAUGGCAGGGUUCCGGUUCAGCAGCAGCCAGAGAGCAGGAAGGAAGCCAGGUCAGGGGGUGUUGCAGAAUCAAGAACAGGCAGUGCCCGAGAAGGAGCUGUGCCCACAGAGCGGAACGCCCUGAGCGCUCAGAUCAGAGGGUUCCACGCAGCGUGCUGGCUGUGGCGCACUACGGAGGCCCUUGCAGCCCAUGAGAAGAGCCGUUUCGGGGUCAGCGGUGCCGUGAGACCACAGCCAGGCGGGAGCAGAUGGAAGGUGGGGGUGGGGGAGGAGGGCGGGCUUUAGACACAGUCUGAGUAGACUCUUCCCAAGUUCGGAAGCGAAUGGAGCAGAGAAAUGGCGGAGUAGCGGAAGGCGUGCUUAGGGCCAAAGGAGAGUUUUAUUUUAAAGAUGGGAGACAUAAAAUUAAGCCUGUAUGCCAUCAGGAGUGAUUCAAAAAGAGGGAGCUGGUGAUGAUCCCGGCUGGGGCUGGAGAGAGAGGGAGCCUUGAUCGAGUGGGGGGGGGGGGGGCAGAGGACACUGCAUCCAGAUGGCAGAACUCUGAAAGGUGUGGCGAACUCAUCGUGGGAAGACAUGGGAGCCCCCAUGGGAGGACUUCGAUUCUUAACAAGCUAUCAAUCAAGUGAAGAAGAGGUGGAUGUGAGAAGGACAAGGUUGAAAUAAUCAUCAUUCUAUGACGCACAGGCCACAGGAUGCUCUCUCUUAUUCCCUGUAUCCUUAGCCCACAGCUGGCCGUCUAGAAAUGCUUCAAGUCAAUUUUGUUCCUGCGAGUAUUCCAUUUCCUCAUUUGUAAAGUGAGGACGAUAUUGAUCCUGUGGAAUUCUUCAAAGCUAGACAUGCGAUAAUGUGUGUACAUCAAUUUGUGAAUCUAAAACUGUAACACAAACUGGGGGAGUAAGAGGUAAGCAGGACGUGGCCCUGGUUGUUUCUUCUCAAAUAGGCUCAGUUUCUAACAUUGUAGUUACAAAAAAGAAGAGAAGUUGACAUUCUUCUUUCAGUAAUGUAGGUCAUCUUUGUUUUCAAAUAUGUGUUUUUAUGCUAAAGGACUUAAUAAAACUGUUUAUCUUGAGUGCAAAAAA
This is a long non-coding RNA of Ailuropoda melanoleuca (giant panda), 3801 nucleotides long. RefSeq lists it as uncharacterized. NCBI's taxonomy places the organism in Eukaryota, Metazoa, Chordata, Mammalia, Carnivora, Ursidae. The record is from RefSeq and is a predicted model, not a curated record. The transcript has 2 exons.